CACCUGGGUUCUGGUCAGCCUAGGCCAUAAAUGCAGCAGCUUGAACCUGAGCUCACUACCUCCGCGUGGGAUGCUGUCCGGCGACCAGUUUGCCCAGGGAAGGAGGCUAUCUUCAGGAAGAAAUACGGGUUACUGCGAACACGAAAGGCCACCAGGAGCGGAGUGAGGGCGUACAGCAAGUUGGCUGCCAGAACCUGGCAGAAGACGUCGUUUGGGACGCGAAACGGAGCCUUGGUGUGAGGAUGGAAGGACCCCCCGAUGUGAGCCCACUGGCACUGUGGACAACAAAGAGGCCUCGGAGGACGGUGAAGGCCAUGGCAGCCAACAGGAGAAACACCAGGAUCAGGUCCAAGGGUCGCCAGACGAGCUUCAUGCUCUGUGCGUGCUGAGCCUGCAGGUGGAAGGACGCCAGCGUUACAACACAGCAUGCAUGGCUAAUUGUACUGGGCCAUCAUCACUUGGCAAGGAAGUAUGGGUUAUCCAGCAGCAAGAGGUAUUGUUUUCAGCACUGUUAGUUUGCUACUUAGUUAGUAGUUUGGGGGGGGAUGUGUACUGCUGGGCACCAUCAAACUUUGGUGGGUUUAGUUUGGUUUAUUAAGCAUCCCCAUUAGUCUACACCAUUAUUUUUCAACCUUUUUUGAGCUGAGGCACAUUUUUUGUGUUGAAAAAAUCCAGAGGAACACCACUAGCAGAAAUCAUUAAAAAACGAAACUCUGUUGACAGUAAAAAGUCGUUGUCGCAAUUGUUGGAUAUGACUUUAAAGCAGUGGUUCUUAACCUUGUUGGAGGUACCGAACCCCACCAGUUUCAUAUGCGCAUUCACCGAACCAGAACCGUAAUCAUAAAAUGAUUUAUUAUAUUAAAG
Molecule: long non-coding RNA, 864 nt
Organism: Entelurus aequoreus (snake pipefish)
Lineage: Eukaryota; Metazoa; Chordata; Actinopteri; Syngnathiformes; Syngnathidae
Exons: 3
Source: RefSeq, a predicted model, not a curated record